Long non-coding RNA from Populus euphratica (Euphrates poplar), 209 nucleotides. RefSeq lists it as uncharacterized. NCBI's taxonomy places the organism in Eukaryota, Viridiplantae, Streptophyta, Magnoliopsida, Malpighiales, Salicaceae. The transcript is spliced from 2 exons. The record is from RefSeq and is a predicted model, not a curated record.
CCCCAAUUCGAUUUUAUUAAUGGCUCCUAAUUCUCUUUCUUCUUUCUCAACGGUCACUUCGCUUCUCUCUUAUUUCUUCACCUUCAUCCCAUGUUCCAGUAUCAAGAUGACUACCGAAGCCGCCACCUCAUCUUUCCAGAAAACAGUGUUGUUACAUGACUGGUGGUUGAUCAAAGCCGAGCAGGAGUUCCAAGGGAAGAAAAUUGCUG